UACAGAGGGUGCGAGCGUUGUCCGGAAUCACUGGGCGUAAAGGGCGCGUAGGCGGCUUUUCAAGCGUGCGGUGAAAGCUCGGGGCUUAACUCCGAGUCUGCCGUGCGAACUGGGAGGCUUGAGUCUGGUAGAGGUCGAUGGAAUUCCGGGUGUAGCGGUGGAAUGCGUAGAUAUCAGGAGGAACACCGGUGGCGAAGGCGGCCCUCUGGACGGAUACUGACGCUGAGGAGCGAAAGCGUGGGGAGCGAACAGG
This 253-nucleotide ribosomal RNA is filed under the name uncultured bacterium. Its description in RNAcentral is "partial 16S ribosomal RNA". It matches the Rfam family "Bacterial small subunit ribosomal RNA", at positions 524 to 776 of the family's 1533-position model. The record is from RNAcentral.